RNAcentral lists this long non-coding RNA (1163 nucleotides) under Pan paniscus (pygmy chimpanzee). Its description in RNAcentral is "lncRNA (ENSPPAG00000045396.1)". The record is from RNAcentral. Lineage: Eukaryota; Metazoa; Chordata; Mammalia; Primates; Hominidae.
CAAAUUAAAAGAUAACCUUUCGAUUGUAUAGUUAAAAUAGAAACUAUGGACAAGAAAAGAGGUAAAUAUGAUCAGUAAAUACACAAAGGCAAGUCUGGGGGCCCACUGUACAAUCAAAAUAAAGAAGACAAAAUUGAAAAUGAAGACAAAAUGAAGAAGACAAAAUUGCCAUAACCCUGCUGAAACUGUAUGUGUAUGGGGAGAAAUUUCAAUGCCAAUGCAAGCAGAGAACAAGUCUUUCAGCAAUGAGAAAAGCGAUCCAAUCGGUGUUUUUCUGUUGUCUCUGUAGAUUUUUUUUUUUUUAAUGUAUGGCUUGUUAAUGACUAGUAAGGGUUAAACCUUAUUUUGAUUUUGUUCUUAACUUUUAAAUUGACUUUUUAUUCAUUUUUCCCGUUUUUAAAAUGUGAUGUUUAAUUAUUUCUUAUUAAUAGAAAAAGCUCUUAGUAAAGGUAACAAAAGGAAUGGCAGAAGCCGCAAUUACUUUUGUGCCAACAUAGUAAGAAUAUUGAGCAUCUUCCUGUUGUAUUUACCAUAAGCCAUUUCCCAAAUGGUUGUUAUAUAUUUGUAUAUUUUUACAGACUGUAUAUUGGGUAUGUUUAUGCCAUAAAAUCUUCAGUCUUUGUAUUUUCUUUAGUUAUCAUCAUGUUUAGAAGUCCUUCAAUUGGGAAAGGUGAGCUCAGGGGACUUUAUUGAUGGUAACCGACAAGGUGAGCCCAAGCCUUCUCCAUGGUGGUGAAGAAACUGGUGGCGUCCACUAUGUACUCAGUACCAGCAUCACCUCAUUUGAUUUUGGUGGGAUCUCUAUCCUGGAAGAUGAUGAUGGCAAUUCCAUUGAUGACAAGCUUCCCGUUCUCAGCCUUGAUGCUGCCAUGGCAUUUGCCACGGGUAGAAUCAUACUGGAACAUGUAGACCAUGUAGUAGAGGUCAAUGAGGGAGUCAUUGAUGGCGACAGUAUUCACUUUACCAGAGUUAAAAGCAGUGCUGAUGACCAGGUGCCCAAUAUGGCCAAAUCCAUUGACUUGGGCCUUUACUUCCACCAUAGUGUGUCAGGGAUGCCAAUGGCGCUGCAUGAGAAGAUGCAGCUGUCUGUCGAACUGGAGGAGCAGAGAGCCUAUAAUUUUCAUGUUGAACUAUUUUAUGUUAAUUUUAUUAAGUUAUGCUAG